UACGUAGGGUGCAAGCGUUAAUCGGAAUUACUGGGCGUAAAGCGUGCGCAGGCGGUGAUGUAAGACAGUUGUGAAAUCCCCGGGCUCAACCUGGGAACUGCAUCCGAGACUGCAUCGCUAGAGUAUGGGAGAGGAAAGCGGAAUUUCUGGUGUAGCAGUGAAAUGCGUAGAUAUCAGAAGGAACAUCAGUGGCGAAGGCGGCUUUCUGGACCAAUACUGACGAUCAGGUGCGAAAGCGUGGGGAGCAAACAGG
Molecule: ribosomal RNA, 253 nt
Filed under: uncultured bacterium
Lineage: Bacteria
Description: partial 16S ribosomal RNA
Rfam family: Bacterial small subunit ribosomal RNA
Source: RNAcentral